GCAUUCUUGGUGUAGUGGUCAGCACGCUUGCCGCUUAACCGAGAGGUCCGUGGUUCAAUUCCCGGUGAAGGUG
This 73-nucleotide transfer RNA is filed under the name Stegodyphus mimosarum. It matches the Rfam family "tRNA". From Rfam's summary of the family: Transfer RNA (tRNA) molecules are approximately 80 nucleotides in length. Their secondary structure includes four short double-helical elements and three loops (D, anti-codon, and T loops). Lineage: Eukaryota; Metazoa; Arthropoda; Arachnida; Araneae; Eresidae. The record is from Rfam by way of RNAcentral.